CAUACACUCCUGCGGGAGGCAGCAGUGGGGAAUAUUGGACAAUGGGCGCAAGCCUGAUCCAGCCAUGCCGCGUGAGUGAUGAAGGCCCUAGGGUUGUAAAGCUCUUUCACCGGUGAAGAUAAUGACGGUAACCGGAGAAGAAGCCCCGGCUAACUUCGUGCCAGCAGCCGCGGUAAUACGAAGGGGGCUAGCGUUGUUCGGAUUUACUGGGCGUAAAGCGCACGUAGGCGGACUAUUAAGUCAGGGGUGAAAUCCCGGGGCUCAACCCCGGAACUGCCUUUGAUACUGGUAGUCUUGAGUUCGAGAGAGGUGGGUGGAAUUCCGAGUGUAGAGGUGAAAUUCGUAGAUAUUCGGAGGAACACCAGUGGCGAAGGCGGCUCACUGGCUCGAUACUGACGCUGAGGUGCGAAAGCGUGGGGAGCAAACAGGAUUAGAUACCCGGGUAGUCCC
This 450-nucleotide ribosomal RNA is filed under the name uncultured organism. RNAcentral's name for it is "partial 16S ribosomal RNA". It matches the Rfam family "Bacterial small subunit ribosomal RNA", at positions 330 to 797 of the family's 1533-position model. The record is from RNAcentral.